GAUGAACGCUAGCUACAGGCUUAACACAUGCAAGUCGAGGGGAAACGACAUCGAAAGCUUGCUUUUGAUGGGCGUCGACCGGCGCACGGGUGAGUAACGCGUAUCCAACCUGCCCACCACUUGGGGAUAACCUUGCGAAAGUAAGACUAAUACCCAAUGACGUCUCUAGAAGACAUCCGAAAGAGACUAAAGAUUUAUCGGUGAUGGAUGGGGAUGCGUCGGAUUAGCUUGUUGGCGGGGUAACGGCCCACCAAGGCGACGAUCAGCAGGGGUUCUGAGAGGAAGGUCCCCCACAUUGGAACUGGGACACGGUCCAAACUCCUACGGGAGGCAGCAGUGAGGAAUAUUGGUCAAUGGGCGAGAGCCUGAACCAGCCAAGUAGCGUGCAGGAUGACGGCCCUAUGGGUUGUAAACUGCUUUUAUAAGGGAAUAAAGUGAGCCUCGUGAGGCUUUUUGCAUGUACCUUAUGAAUAAGGACCGGCUAAUUCCGUGCCAGCCGCCGCAGUAA
RNAcentral lists this ribosomal RNA (508 nucleotides) under uncultured bacterium. Its description in RNAcentral is "partial 16S ribosomal RNA". It matches the Rfam family "Bacterial small subunit ribosomal RNA", at positions 28 to 523 of the family's 1533-position model. The record is from RNAcentral.